This 497-nucleotide ribosomal RNA is filed under the name uncultured bacterium. RNAcentral's name for it is "partial 16S ribosomal RNA". It matches the Rfam family "Bacterial small subunit ribosomal RNA", at positions 28 to 523 of the family's 1533-position model. The record is from RNAcentral.
GAUGAACGCUGGCGGCGUGCUUAACACAUGCAAGUCGAACGAAGCACUUUUAUUUGAUUUCUUCGGAAUGAAGAUUUUAGUGACUGAGUGGCGGACGGGUGAGUAACGCGUGGGUAACCUGCCUCAUACAGGGGGAUAACAGUUAGAAAUGACUGCUAAUACCGCAUAAGACCACAGCACCGCAUGGUGCAGAGGUAAAAACUCCGGCGGUAUGAGAUGGACCCGCGUCUGAUUAGGUAGUUGGUGGGGUAACGGCCUACCAAGCCGACGAUCAGUAGCCGACCUGGGAGGGUGACCGGCCACAUUGGGACUGAGACACGGCCCAAACUCCUACGGGAGGCAGCAGUGGGGAAUAUUGCACAAUGGGGGAAACCCUGAUGCAGCGACGCCGCGUGAGCGAUGAAGUAUUUCGGUAUGUAAAGCUCUAUCAGCAGGGAAGAAAAUGACGGUACCUGACUAAGAAGCACCGGCUAAAUACGUGCCAGCCGCCGCCGUAA